RNAcentral lists this ribosomal RNA (581 nucleotides) under Fusarium decemcellulare. RNAcentral describes it as "eukaryotic LSU rRNA". It matches the Rfam family "Eukaryotic large subunit ribosomal RNA", at positions 49 to 653 of the family's 3401-position model. The record is from RNAcentral. Lineage: Eukaryota; Fungi; Ascomycota; Sordariomycetes; Hypocreales; Nectriaceae.
AGCGGAGGAAAAGAAACCAACAGGGAUUGCCCUAGUAACGGCGAGUGAAGCGGCAACAGCUCAAAUUUGAAAUCUGGCUCUCGGGCCCGAGUUGUAAUUUGUAGAGGAUGCUUUUGGUGCGGUGCCUUCCGAGUGCCCUGGAACGGGACGCCAUAGAGGGUGAGAGCCCCGUCUGGUUGGAUGCCAAUCCUCUGUAAAGCUCCUUCGACGAGUCGAGUAGUUUGGGAAUGCUGCUCUAAAUGGGAGGUAUAUGUCUUCUAAAGCUAAAUACCGGCCAGAGACCGAUAGCGCACAAGUAGAGUGAUCGAAAGAUGAAAAGCACUUUGAAAAGAGAGUUAAAAAGUACGUGAAAUUGUUGAAAGGGAAGCGUUUAUGACCAGACUUGGGCUUGGUUAAUCAUCCAGGGUUCUCCCUGGUGCACUUUUCCAGUCCAGGCCAGCAUCAGUUUGCUUCGGGGGAUAAAGGCUUCGGGAAUGUGGCUCUCUCCGGGGAGUGUUAUAGCCCGUUGCGUAAUACCCUGGGGCGGACUGAGGUACGCGCUUCUGCAAGGAUGCUGGCGUAAUGGUCAUCAACGACCCGUA